This 75-nucleotide transfer RNA is filed under the name Hyphomicrobiales bacterium. RNAcentral describes it as "Rhizobiales bacterium (grounwater metagenome) tRNA-Glu". It matches the Rfam family "tRNA". From Rfam's summary of the family: Transfer RNA (tRNA) molecules are approximately 80 nucleotides in length. Their secondary structure includes four short double-helical elements and three loops (D, anti-codon, and T loops). Lineage: Bacteria; Pseudomonadati; Pseudomonadota; Alphaproteobacteria; Hyphomicrobiales. The record is from RNAcentral.
GCUCCCUUCGUCUAUCGGUUAGGACGUCAGGUUUUCAACCUGAAAAGAAGGGUUCGACUCCCUUAGGGAGCGCCA